Molecule: ribosomal RNA, 35 nt
Filed under: uncultured Cenococcum
Lineage: Eukaryota; Fungi; Ascomycota; Dothideomycetes; Gloniales; Gloniaceae
Description: partial 18S ribosomal RNA
Source: RNAcentral
AACGUUCCGUAGUUGAACCUGCGGAAGGAUCAUUA